Molecule: transfer RNA, 74 nt
Filed under: Hyphomicrobiaceae bacterium
Lineage: Bacteria; Pseudomonadati; Pseudomonadota; Alphaproteobacteria; Hyphomicrobiales; Hyphomicrobiaceae
Description: tRNA-Leu
Rfam family: tRNA
About the family: Transfer RNA (tRNA) molecules are approximately 80 nucleotides in length.
Source: RNAcentral
GCCAGUGUAGCCCAACUGGAAGAGGCGUCGGUCUUAGAAACCGAGCGUUAGAGGUUCGAGUCCCUUCACUGGCA